GCAGCCAUCAUUUAAAGAAAGCGUAAUAGCUCACUGGUCGAGUCGGCCUGCGCGGAAGAUGUAACGGGGCUAAACCAUGCACCGAAGCUGCGGCAGCGACGCUUAUGCGUUGUUGGGUAGGGGAGCGUUCUGUAAGCCUGUGAAGGUGGCCUGUGAGGGUUGCUGGAGGUAUCAGAAGUGCGAAUGCUGACAUAAGUAACGAUAAAGCGGGUGAAAAGCCCGCUCGCCGGAAGACCAAGGGUUCCUGUCCAACGUUAAUCGGGGCAGGGUGAGUCGACCCCUAAGGCGAGGCCGAAAGGCGUAGUCGAUGGGAAACGGGUUAAUAUUCCCGUACUUGGUGUUACUGCGAAGGGGGGACGGAGAAGGCUAUGUUGGCCGGGCGACGGUUGUCCCGGUUUAAGCGUGUAGGUGUGUGUUCCAGGUAAAUCCGGUUCACUUUAACACUGAGGCGUGAUGACGAGGCACUACGGUGCUGAAGCAACAAAUGCCCUGCUUCCAGGAAAAGCCUCUAAGCAUCAGGUAACAUCAAAUCGUACCCCAAACCGACACAGGUG
This 554-nucleotide ribosomal RNA is filed under the name Salmonella enterica subsp. enterica serovar Weltevreden. RNAcentral's name for it is "partial 23S ribosomal RNA". It matches the Rfam family "Bacterial large subunit ribosomal RNA", at positions 1112 to 1665 of the family's 2925-position model. Lineage: Bacteria; Pseudomonadati; Pseudomonadota; Gammaproteobacteria; Enterobacterales; Enterobacteriaceae. The record is from RNAcentral.